GUGGGGAAUAUUGCACAAUGGGCGCAAGCCUGAUGCAGCCAUGCCGCGUGUGUGAAGAAGGCCUUCGGGUUGUAAAGCACUUUCAGCGAGGAGGAAAGGUUGAUGCCUAAUACGCAUCAGCUGUGACGUUACUCGCAGAAGAAGCACCGGCUAACUCCGUGCCAGCAGCCGCGGUAAUACGGAGGGUGCAAGCGUUAAUCGGAAUUACUGGGCGUAAAGCGCACGCAGGCGGUUGGAUAAGUUAGAUGUGAAAGCCCCGGGCUCAACCUGGGAAUUGCAUUUAAAACUGUCCAGCUAGAGUCUUGUAGAGGGGGGUAGAAUUCCAGGUGUAGCGGUGAAAUGCGUAGAGAUCUGGAGGAAUACCGGUGGCGGAGGCGGCCCCCUGGACAAAGACUGACGCUCAGGUGCGAAAGCGUGGGGAGCAAACAGGAUUAGAUACCCGGGUAGUCC
Molecule: ribosomal RNA, 450 nt
Filed under: uncultured bacterium
Lineage: Bacteria
Description: partial 16S ribosomal RNA
Rfam family: Bacterial small subunit ribosomal RNA
Source: RNAcentral